AUUGAACGCUGGCGGCAGGCCUAACACAUGCAAGUCGAGCGGAUGAAGGGAGCUUGCUCCUGGAUUCAGCGUCGGACGGGUGAGUAAUGCCUAGGAAUCUGCCUGGUAGUGGGGGAUAACGUCCGGAAACGGGCGCUAAUACCGCCUACGUCCUGAGGGAGCAAGUGGGGGAUCUUCGGACCUCACGCUAUCAGAUGAGCCUAGGUCGGAUUAGCUAGUUGGUGGGGUAAAGGCCUACCAAGUCGACGAUCCGUAACUGGUCUGAGAGGAUGAUCAGUCACACGGGAACUGAGACACGGUCCAGACUCCUACGGGAGGCAGCAGUGGGGAAUAGUGGACAAUGGGCGAAAGCCUGAUCCAGCCAUGCCGCGUGUGUGAAGAAGGUCUUCGGAUUGUAAAGCACUUUAAGUUGGGAGGAAGGGCAGUAAGUUAAUACCUUGCUGUUUUGACGUUACCAACAGAAUAAGCACCGGCUAACUUCGUG
This 484-nucleotide ribosomal RNA is filed under the name uncultured bacterium. RNAcentral's name for it is "partial 16S ribosomal RNA". It matches the Rfam family "Bacterial small subunit ribosomal RNA", at positions 30 to 507 of the family's 1533-position model. The record is from RNAcentral.